AGAAAUUUCUCUUCCCUGUUAAAAUGCAGAUUCUGAUUUUUGUGGGGUCUGAGACUCUGCAUUUCAAACAGGCUCCCGGGUGAUGCUGCU
Molecule: microRNA precursor, 90 nt
Filed under: Marmota monax (woodchuck)
Lineage: Eukaryota; Metazoa; Chordata; Mammalia; Rodentia; Sciuridae
Source: RNAcentral